UACGUAGGGGGCAAGCGUUGUUCGGAUUUAUUGGGCGUAAAGAGCGUGUAGGCGGCCAGGUAGGUCUGCUGUGAAAACUCGAGGCUUAACCUCGAGCUGUCGGCGGAAACCAUUUGGCUAGAGUCCGGAAGAGGAGAAUGGAAUUCCCGGUGUAGCGGUGAAAUGCGCAGAUAUCGGGAAGAACACCCGUGGCGAAGGCGGUUCUCUGGGACGGUACUGACGCUGAGACGCGAAAGCGUGGGGAGCGAACAGG
RNAcentral lists this ribosomal RNA (253 nucleotides) under uncultured bacterium. RNAcentral describes it as "partial 16S ribosomal RNA". It matches the Rfam family "Bacterial small subunit ribosomal RNA", at positions 524 to 776 of the family's 1533-position model. The record is from RNAcentral.